This 70-nucleotide transfer RNA is filed under the name Pterophyllum scalare (freshwater angelfish). Its description in RNAcentral is "tRNA-Tyr". It matches the Rfam family "tRNA". Rfam says of the family: Transfer RNA (tRNA) molecules are approximately 80 nucleotides in length. Their secondary structure includes four short double-helical elements and three loops (D, anti-codon, and T loops). The record is from RNAcentral. Lineage: Eukaryota; Metazoa; Chordata; Actinopteri; Cichliformes; Cichlidae.
GGUAAGAUGGCUGAGAGCUAAGCGGUGGAUUGUAGCCCCAUGGACAGAGGUUAAAAUCCUCUUUUUACCA